Molecule: ribosomal RNA, 707 nt
Filed under: Nocardioides sp. R71-3(2010)
Lineage: Bacteria; Bacillati; Actinomycetota; Actinomycetes; Propionibacteriales; Nocardioidaceae
Description: bacterial SSU rRNA
Rfam family: Bacterial small subunit ribosomal RNA
Source: RNAcentral
UGCAAGUCGAGCGGAAGGCCCUUUCGGGGGUACUCGAGCGGCGAACGGGUGAGUAACACGUGAGUAAUCUGCCCUUGGCUUUGGGAUAACCACCGGAAACGGUGGCUAAUACCGGAUAUGACCACUCCCGGCAUCGGGUGGUGGUGGAAAGUUUUUUCGGCCAGGGAUGUGCUCGCGGCCUAUCAGCUUGUUGGUGGGGUAAUGGCCUACCAAGGCUUCGACGGGUAGCCGGCCUGAGAGGGUGACCGGCCACACUGGGACUGAGACACGGCCCAGACUCCUACGGGAGGCAGCAGUGGGGAAUAUUGGACAAUGGGCGGAAGCCUGAUCCAGCAACGCCGCGUGAGGGAUGACGGCCUUCGGGUUGUAAACCUCUUUCAGUACCGACGAAGCGCCGAUGAUGGUGGUGACGGUAGGUACAGAAGAAGCACCGGCCAACUACGUGCCAGCAGCCGCGGUAAUACGUAGGGUGCGAGCGUUGUCCGGAAUUAUUGGGCGUAAAGGGCUCGUAGGCGGUUUGUCGCGUCGGGAGUGAAAACACCGGGCUUAACUCGGUGCUUGCUUUCGAUACGGGCAGACUAGAGGCAUGCAGGGGAGAACGGAAUUCCUGGUGUAGCGGUGAAAUGCGCAGAUAUCAGGAGGAACACCGGUGGCGAAGGCGGUUCUCUGGGCAUGUCCUGACGCUGAGGAGCGAAAGUGUGGGGAGC